AUUGAACGCUGGCGGCAUGCCUUACACAUGCAAGUCGAACGGCAGCACGGGUGCUUGCACCUGGUGGCGAGUGGCGAACGGGUGAGUAAUACAUCGGAACAUGUCCUGUAGUGGCGGAUAGCCCGGCGAAAGCCGGAUUAAUACCGCAUACGAUCUACGGAUGAAAGCGGGGGACCUUCGGGCCUCGCGCUAUAGGGUUGGCCGAUGGCUGAUUAGCUAGUUGGUGGGGUAAAGGCCUACCAAGGCGACGAUCAGUAGCUGGUCUGAGAGGACGACCAGCCACACUGGGACUGAGACACGGCCCAGACUCCUACGGGAGGCAGCAGUGGGGAAUUUUGGACAAUGGGCGAAAGCCUGAUCCAGCAAUGCCGCGUGUGUGAAGAAGGCCUUCGGGUUGUAAAGCACUUUUGUCCGGAAAGAAAUCCUUGGCCCUAAUACGGUCGGGGGAUGACGGUACCGGAAGAAUAAGCACCGGCUAACUACGUG
Molecule: ribosomal RNA, 486 nt
Filed under: uncultured bacterium
Lineage: Bacteria
Description: partial 16S ribosomal RNA
Rfam family: Bacterial small subunit ribosomal RNA
Source: RNAcentral